Long non-coding RNA from Polypterus senegalus (gray bichir), 356 nucleotides. RefSeq lists it as uncharacterized. NCBI's taxonomy places the organism in Eukaryota, Metazoa, Chordata, Cladistia, Polypteriformes, Polypteridae. The transcript is spliced from 3 exons. The record is from RefSeq and is a predicted model, not a curated record.
CGCGCCGAUAGAUAAAGAAGGCGGCCGAGCGGCUCUGCUCGCCACAAAGCGGGUCGCAGCUGAGCGCGAAGGGCGCAAACGGUCGCGGCGUUGUACAACGGGAUAAGGCUACUUUUAUUUAUUUUACUUUUCUUUCUCACACCCAUGAAUAUCAGUUUGGGCAGAAUGACAUUUUCAAUGGAAGACUUUGUCCCCGUGCAAGUGGAGAACUUGACGGGUCUGGAAUCUGACUGGUCCGAGGUGCACGAAGCCGUCCGAUGGAUCCAGUUCUUCAUGGCCCUGUUGAGCAUUGCUGGAGCCGGAGGCAUCAUUGUUUACGCCGCUUUCCAGAACCUAAUCCAGACCCCAGAGGUAAG